UUGAAUAUAAAGAAAAGACGAACAGCUCAGUAACUCUUAUUUUAUUUGAUGUAUUAGGAUUAUAACUAUGUUAAAUUAUAGAUAACAAUAAUACAAUAAGAAUAAGAUCUAUCAGUUAGUUGUUAAGGUAAUGGCUUAACAAGACUAUGACGGAUAACGGUAUUACUUUGUAAUAUUCCGGAGAAGGAGCCUGAGAGAUUGCUACUAAGUCUAAGGAUUGCAGCAGGGGCGAAACUUGACCUAUGAUAUGAUAUUGAGGCAGUUAUGAGUAGUAUUUUUAAUUAUUGUAGUAUUGUAAGUAUAUACUACAAGAUAAAUCGGAGGGCAAAUCGAGUGCCAGCAGCCGCGGUAAUACUUGUUCCGAUAGUGUGUAUGAUGAUUGAUGCAGUUAAAAAGUCUGUAGUUUAUUAUUAAUAAGCAUUGUGAGGUAUAUUGUAUGGUUAGGAGAGAGAUGAAAUGUGAUAACCCUAACUGGAUGAACAGAAGCGAAAGCUAUAUACUUAAAUGUUUUAUUAGAACAAGGACGUAAGCUAGAGGAUCGAAGAUGAUUAGAUACCAUUGUAGUUCUAGCAGUAAACUAUGUUAAAUCAUAGAUACAUUAUUAAUAUGUAUUUAUGUAAAGAAAUUAAGAUUAUAUUGACUCUGGGGAUAGUAUGAUCGCAAGAUUGAAAAUUAAAGAAAUUGACGGAAGAAUACCACAAGGAGUGGAUUGUGCGGCUU
This 720-nucleotide ribosomal RNA is filed under the name Nosema granulosis. Its description in RNAcentral is "partial small subunit ribosomal RNA". It matches the Rfam family "Microsporidia small subunit ribosomal RNA", at positions 60 to 825 of the family's 1311-position model. Lineage: Eukaryota; Fungi; Microsporidia; Nosematidae. The record is from RNAcentral.